GGAAUCCUCCACUACAUAGCAUUAUUUGCAGAGUACUAAAUGUCUUCCUCUAAAGUGAAGCCAUCAAACCUACUUUCUUGGAGGUUUCACCUAUAAUUGUAUAUAUUUGUGAUCUCAGGUGCUUCGACAAAGCUGCAAUAAAAGAUGUCAACGCAAGUGCUCAUUCAAGCCCACCAUGCACAGUGACUCAAGUGGAAGGGGCCAAGCUUGUUCUUGGGAUGAUACUGAUAUGGUUAGUGACCUUAAUUCCAAGCAUCAUAUGGGCACAAAUUAACACUCUUUUUGUCAAACAAGGC
RNAcentral lists this unclassified non-coding RNA (296 nucleotides) under Hevea brasiliensis (rubber tree). The record is from RNAcentral. Lineage: Eukaryota; Viridiplantae; Streptophyta; Magnoliopsida; Malpighiales; Euphorbiaceae.